This 569-nucleotide ribosomal RNA is filed under the name uncultured bacterium. RNAcentral describes it as "bacterial SSU rRNA". It matches the Rfam family "Bacterial small subunit ribosomal RNA", at positions 8 to 577 of the family's 1533-position model. The record is from RNAcentral.
AGAGUUUGAUCCUGGCUCAGGAUGAACGCUGGCGGCGUGCCUAACACAUGCAAGUCGAACGGAGUUUAUAUUAUGAAGUCUUCGGAUGAAUUGAUAUAAACUUAGUGGCGGACGGGUGAGUAACGCGUGGGUAACCUGCCUCAUACAGGGGGAUAACAGCCGGAAACGGUUGCUAAAACCGCAUAAGCGCACAGCAGCGCAUGCUGCAGUGUGAAAAUAUUUUAUAGGUAUGAGAUGGGCCCGCGUCUGAUUAGCUAGUUGGUGAGGUAACUGCUCACCAAGGCGACGAUCAGUAGCCGGCUUGAGAGAGUGACCGGCCACAUUGGGACUGAGACACGGCCCAAACUCCUACGGGAGGCAGCAGUGGGGAAUAUUGCACAAUGGGGGAAACCCUGAUGCAGCGACGCCGCGUGAGUGAAGAAGUAUUUCGGUACGUAAAGCUCUAUCAGCGGGGAAGAAAAUGACGGUACCUGACUAAGAAGCCCCGGCUAACUACGUGCCAGCAGCCGCGGUAAUACGUAGGGGGCAAGCGUUAUCCGGAUUUACUGGGUGUAAAGGGAGCGUAGGUG